UGGGGAAUUUUGGACAAUGGGCGAAAGCCUGAUCCAGCAAUGCCGCGUGUGUGAAGAAGGCCUUCGGGUUGUAAAGCACUUUUGUCCGGAAAGAAAUCCUUGGCUCUAAUACAGUCGGGGGAUGACGGUACCGGAAGAAUAAGCACCGGCUAACUACGUGCCAGCAGCCGCGGUAAUACGUAGGGUGCAAGCGUUAAUCGGAAUUACUGGGCGUAAAGCGUGCGCAGGCGGUUUGCUAAGACCGAUGUGAAAUCCCCGGGCUCAACCUGGGAACUGCAUUGGUGACUGGCAGGCUAGANUAUGGCAGGAGGGGGGUAGAAUUCCACGUGUAGCAGUGAAAUGCGUAGAGAUGUGGAGGAAUACGAUGGCGAAGGCAGCCCCCUGGGCCAAUACUGACGCUCAUGCACGAAAGCGUGGGGAGCAAACAGGAUUAGAUACCCUGGUAGUCCACGCCCUAAACGAUGUCAACUAGUUGUUGGGGAUUCAUUUCCUUAGUAACGUAGCUAACGCGUGAAGUUGACCGUCUGGGGAGUACGGUCGCAAGAUUAAAACUCAAAUGAAUUGACGGGGUCAUAGCUGUUUCCU
RNAcentral lists this ribosomal RNA (585 nucleotides) under uncultured bacterium. Its description in RNAcentral is "partial 16S ribosomal RNA". It matches the Rfam family "Bacterial small subunit ribosomal RNA", at positions 355 to 1375 of the family's 1533-position model. The record is from RNAcentral.